UGGGGAAUAUUGCACAAUGGGGGAAACCCUGAUGCAGCGACGCCGCGUGAACGAAGAAGGUAUUCGUAUCGUAAAGUUCUGUCCUAUGGGAAGAUAAUGACAGUACCAUAUAAGAAAGCUCCGUCUAAAUACGUGCCAGCAGCCGCGGUAAUACGUAUGGAGCGAGCGUUGUCCGGAAUUAUUGGGCGUAAAGGGUACGCAGGCGGUUUAAUAAGUCGAAUGUUAAAGAUCGGGGCUCAACCCCGUAAAGCAUUGGAAACUGAUAAACUUGAGUAGUGGAGAGGAAAGUGGAAUUCCUAGUGUAGUGGUGAAAUACGUAGAUAUUAGGAGGAAUACCAGUAGCGAAGGCGACUUUCUGGACACAAACUGACGCUGGGGUACGAAAGCGUGGGGAGCAAAAAGG
RNAcentral lists this ribosomal RNA (403 nucleotides) under Bacteroidota bacterium. RNAcentral describes it as "Bacteroidetes bacterium partial 16S ribosomal RNA". It matches the Rfam family "Bacterial small subunit ribosomal RNA", at positions 355 to 776 of the family's 1533-position model. The record is from RNAcentral. Lineage: Bacteria; Pseudomonadati; Bacteroidota.